CUCUCGUGUCAUGUAGGAUUCACUCAUGAGCUUAAUAGUUUUAUUGCAAUUGUGUUCAUUGGAUUUUCAAGAUUGUGUAUUAUUGUAAAAUAUACACAACAUAACUAUUUUAUCUCUUCUGCCCCCAGAUAUUCUUCUGCCCAAAUCAAAGAGAAAUCUCUUCCAGGCCACAAGUACCCACAGGUCAGGCACUAGCCAGGCCUCCAGUGACGUUCUUGCUGAGCUCCAUGCCAACCGCCCUGACACCGCAUUGCCUGUGAAGUGCACUUCUACAGCUGUUGCUGAUACAGAGACUCGUCACGUCCCCUCUGCCAGAGUGAAGAAGAAGAGCCAGGGCCGGAGGUUCAGUUACUGCCCAAAGUUGCCAACGGUCAAGAUCAAGGUGUUCAAGAGCAGAGUGGAACCAGAGAGCCACCCCGCUCAAAAGGAGCUGCCUUCGCAGCGUUUCAGCACCUCUCGAGUUGCGCUGGAUGAUGAUCAUGCUGUCCCAUUCAUUCCCCAACCUGAGGACGACCUGCCACCAGCACCUGCACAGGAGUCCCGUAAACAUCCCCUGUUGGUCAGGGUGUUCCGGGCCAUUUCCAGAGCCAUCUCGAAACCGUUCAAGGGCUGUGAUUUUUGCAAGAAGAAUUAGAAAGAUUUAGCCAUCACCAUCUAAUAAACAUAUUAGCAGCAUUGA
This is a long non-coding RNA of Coregonus clupeaformis (lake whitefish), 679 nucleotides long. RefSeq lists it as uncharacterized. The transcript is spliced from 3 exons. The record is from RefSeq and is a predicted model, not a curated record. NCBI's taxonomy places the organism in Eukaryota, Metazoa, Chordata, Actinopteri, Salmoniformes, Salmonidae.